UGGAUCACCGCAGUCGUGGGAAUAAUAAAAAAAGACAACUCUGUUCCGCAGAGUAGCUGUUGACAUUAUAGUUGCGCAGGAACUUUGUUGACUCUAGAGAACCUUGGGCAAAUAGUACAUUCCCGUAGCGGCGACUUUGCAUGCGGAUGUCAUCCAUAUCAACUUUCAAUGCCAGUUUCUGUGCCUAUCAUGGUGACCACGGGUAACGGGGAAUCAGGGUUCCAUUCCGUACAGGGACCCUGAGAAACGGCUACCACAUGCAAGGAAGGCAGCAGGUGCGCAAAUUACCCACUCCCGAUGCGGGAAGAUAGUGA
Pelobates cultripes (western spadefoot toad) is the source of this 314-nucleotide non-coding RNA. The record is from the annotation of a GenBank genome assembly. NCBI's taxonomy places the organism in Eukaryota, Metazoa, Chordata, Amphibia, Anura, Pelobatidae.